This is a non-coding RNA of Gymnothorax javanicus (giant moray), 73 nucleotides long. NCBI's taxonomy places the organism in Eukaryota, Metazoa, Chordata, Actinopteri, Anguilliformes, Muraenidae. The record is from the annotation of a GenBank genome assembly.
GACUCUGUGGUGCAAUGGAUAGCACAGAGGACUUCUAAUUCAAAGGUUGUGGGUUUGAGUCCCAUCAGAGUCG